CAGUCGCCACGGGAAUACAGAGUGUGCAAGCGUUAAUCGGAAUUACUGGGCGUAAAGCGCGCGUAGGUGGUUUGUUAAGUUGGAUGUGAAAUCCCCGGGCUCAACCUGGGAACUGCAUCCAAAACUGGCAAGCUAGAGUAUGGUAGAGGGUGGUGGAAUUUCCUGUGUAGCGGUGAAAUGCGUAGAUAUAGGAAGGAACACCAGUGGCGAAGGCGACCACCUGGACUGAUACUGACACUGAGGUGCGAAAGCGUGGGGAGCAAACAGGAUUAGAUACCCCAGUAGUCCCUGUCUCUUAUAC
RNAcentral lists this ribosomal RNA (301 nucleotides) under uncultured bacterium. RNAcentral describes it as "partial 16S ribosomal RNA". It matches the Rfam family "Bacterial small subunit ribosomal RNA", at positions 509 to 807 of the family's 1533-position model. The record is from RNAcentral.